GGUGUGACUCAGUGGAAGGCACUCUGCUUUGCAGGCAGAAGAUCCCAGGUUCAGUCCCUGGCAUAUGCA
This 69-nucleotide transfer RNA is filed under the name Sphaerodactylus townsendi. RNAcentral describes it as "tRNA-Ala". Lineage: Eukaryota; Metazoa; Chordata; Lepidosauria; Squamata; Sphaerodactylidae. The record is from RNAcentral.